This 17-nucleotide ribosomal RNA is filed under the name Cortinarius uraceonemoralis. Its description in RNAcentral is "partial 28S ribosomal RNA". The record is from RNAcentral. Lineage: Eukaryota; Fungi; Basidiomycota; Agaricomycetes; Agaricales; Cortinariaceae.
UAUUUGACCUCAAAUCA